CCUACGGGUGGCAGCAGUGGGGGAUAUUGCACAAUGGGGGAAACCCUGAUGCAGCGACGCCGCGUGAGUGAAGAAGUAUUUCGGUAUGUAAAGCUCUAUCAGCAGGGAAGAAAAUGACAGUACCUGACCAAGAAGCCCCGGCUAACUACGUGCCAGCAGCCGCGGUAAUACGUAGGGGGCAAGCGUUAUCCGGAUUUAUUGGGUUUAAAGGGUGCGUAGGCGGUCUGUUAAGUCAGCGGUAAAAUUGCGGGGCUCAACCCCGUCGAGCCGUUGAAACUGGCAGACUUGAGUUGGCGAGAAGUACGCGGAAUGCGCGGUGUAGCGGUGAAAUGCAUAGAUAUCACGAGGAACCCCGAUUGCGAAGGCAACAUACCGGCGCUCAACUGACGCUCAUGCACGAAAGUGUGGGUAUCGAACAGGAUUAGAUACCCUUGUAGUC
Molecule: ribosomal RNA, 439 nt
Filed under: uncultured bacterium
Lineage: Bacteria
Description: partial 16S ribosomal RNA
Rfam family: Bacterial small subunit ribosomal RNA
Source: RNAcentral